Pleuronectes platessa (European plaice) is the source of this 3464-nucleotide RNA transcript. It is a transcript of the gene named protein-glutamine gamma-glutamyltransferase E, with no coding region annotated. The record is from RefSeq and is a predicted model, not a curated record. NCBI's taxonomy places the organism in Eukaryota, Metazoa, Chordata, Actinopteri, Pleuronectiformes, Pleuronectidae. The transcript is spliced from 16 exons.
AAUAAACCAACAUUGCGGAGUCACCUGUCAGUGAGCAGCUGAGCGACUGCCAGGGUUCCUUCACGCUUACGUCUUUUACUGUAGAGACACAAACUCUGCAGACAUGACAGAAGAGGCUCCGACGAGUUCUGCAGGCAUGACGGAGGAGGUUAAAGAACUUAUCUUGAAGGACGUGAACCUCCACUGUCCGACCAACAACUUCUCCCACCACACCAGUGAGAUCUCCCUGACGGAGCUGUUUGUGAGGCGAGGUCUGGCCUUCACUCUGACCCUCACUCUGUCGCAGCCUUUCAAACCAAAACUUUACCCGCUCACCAUGGUCGCAAUGACAGGUUUGGUUACAUCCGAGGAACAAGGCACAAUUUCGUACUUUGGUAUCCCCGACAGCGUGAUCCGGUCACCGUCAGCAAAGGCUGUGUGGAAGGCAGCGCUUGAGGAGGAGAAGUCCUCCCCAGAGAAAGGCGUCUUGGUUCUAAACAUCACCCCCCCGGCUAACGCCCCCAUAGGAGCGUAUGUACUCACUGGGAAAUACAGGGAAGAGGAAAUGUUGCUGGCAAAGCCGGUGGUGUUCUUCAACCCCUGGUGUCCUGAUGACACGGUGUAUCUAUCCGACGAGAAGGAAAGACAAGAGUAUGUGAUAAGUGAACAAGGAAUCAUCUACGGAGGAACUGGAAACUACAUCUCCGACCGCACGUGGGACUUCGGACAGUUUGAGGACGACAUGGCGAGGAUUUGUAUUAAGUUGCUGGACGUUAACCCCAAACACGCGGAAAACCCAGCUGACGAUGUCUGUAGUCGCUCUGAUCCCGUCUACGUCAGCCGUGUGAUCAGCGCCAUGAUCAAUGCUGAUGGCGACCAUGGCGUCGUGAUGGGAAGGUGGGGGGGUCCGUUUACUGCCGGGUAUAAACCCACUCACUGGACCGGCAGCCACGCCAUCCUCCAACGUUGGUACGACUAUGGCUGCCAACCGGUCAGAUACGGCCAGUGCUGGGUGUUUGCUGGCGUGAUGUGUUCAGUGAUGCGUCUGCUGGGCAUCCCCUGCCGCGUGGUCUCCAACUACGAGUCAGCCCACGACACUAACAAAAAUCUGAUCAUCGACGUGUACCACGCAGACUACGGUGUCGCAGGGAAAAAAUCUCCUGACAGUGUUUGGAACUACCAUGUGUGGGUGGAGGGCUGGAUGAAACGUCCAGACCUGGAGGAAGGUGAUAAGUACGACGGAUGGCAAGUUCUGGAUCCGACACCACAGGAGAAGAGCAAUGGUGUUUACUGCUGCGGUCCAGCCUCGGUCAAAGCCAUCCGGAGCGGAAACAUCGACCUGAAGUACGACAUCCCGUUCAUCUUCGCUGAGGUCAACGCGGACUGUGUGGACUGGCUGGUCAAAGCUGACGGCUCGAAAAUGAAGAUCUUCUCCGACACCAAGAGAAUCGGUCAGAACAUCUCCACCAAGUCUGUCGGCUUGAGAAAGAGGAGGAACAUCACCGACACCUACAAGCACAAGGAGGGGUCCGACAAGGAGAGGGACGUCUUCAAGUACGCCCUCACCAGAGACCUCACCAUAGACAAGGAGGAGGGGGACAGCGGGGUGGAGACGGAGAAUGACACAGGAGCAGAGAAUCAGACGGGAGGAGCAGGUGAAGAGACGGAGGGGAACGGGGCAGUGAUCGAUACCUCGGGAGGAGCAGGUGAAGAGACGGAGGGGAACGGGGCAGUGAUCGAUACCUCGGGAGGAGCAGGUGAGGGCGUCCCGGAGGUCACGCCACCCUCCGAUGUGUCCAUGCGAUUUGAGGAGUUGUCCAAACCAAUGAACGGGAAGGACGUGAGCAUGAAGCUGUUGCUUCACAGCAAGUCCACUUUCUCCAGGCUGCUGUCCAUCAACAUCAGCGUCCAGGCCAUGAGCUACAACGGCUCCUCGGCCGGGAACAUCCAGUCCGAGGUGAAGGAGGAGACCAUGCAGCCUGGGACAGAACUGUCCGUCCCCAUCCUGGUCCCGUUCUCGGCCUAUCACAAGCUCAUGGUGGAGUGUGACAGCAUGAAGGUCACAGCCAUGGUCAAUGACAAAUACAAGCCGGAGCAAGUCUACCUGGCGGAGAAUGACAUUGUGCUGACGGAUCCUCCUUUCACCUUAACAGUUUCCAGUACGACCAGACUGCAACAAGAAACCAGUGGAGUAUUGAUUUUCAAGAACCCGGUAGACGAGACGCUGACGGGAUGCACACUGACUCUGUCUGGAAGUGGAAUAUUUAAAAAGGAGGAGGACUGCAGGCUCCCGGACCUGGCACCAAAACAACAGUUCCGUAUCAACAUCUUCUUUUAUCCCUACAAGACGGGAAAGAAGACGAUCACGGCCGUCUUCGACUGCUCCACCUUCAGGGACAUCCAGACCACCUGCGAGAUCGAGGUCAAAGAGUAACGUCUCAACUCCGCAGAGUCUCGUUCUAAGGUCACAAGCUAAAACAAAAAAAAGCUAAAAUCUUCGGCGGCUUAAAGGAGAUUUAUUGAGCUCAUGUUCAGGUUUGUCUGGGUCCGAUGUCUUCGCUACAACAGGAACUAUUUUUCAUCCGUCCCGUGUCACGAAAGUUAUCAACAAACACACACUCUCGCUCGCUGUGAUUGUUCCGGACAUUCCUCCGCUAUUUCAGGAAAAUGUCUAGAGUUCACUGCGGCUCUAAAAACAGCUUUAACUUUCACUUCAUUAAGUUACCUCAAUAAGAGAGAUAACAAACAUGUGUUUCUCAGUCAAAUAUCGGUGCAGGGUACAAAAAGCUUUUCAACAAACCGCUGUGAACUUCACUCAGAACCAAAAAGCUUUCUCGAAGCAACUCAUUAUUCACUUUUAUAUGAUAAAGCCCGGUGAUGGACCACUGCUUAAAAAAGAAGAACAAUGAGAAAGAUGCCAAACAUACGACACAUGAACAUUUACAUGUAUCUACUUAAAUUCGUUGAUUUCUUUUAAGGUCUGACUUGGAUCCCAGCUGGUUUUUAAAGUCUGAUCCUGAAACUAGAUUCUCAUCAGAAUGUUUGAAUUUGCUUGAACAAAGUUAUUCAGUUGUUUUGUUCUUGAGGAUAAAUCUCCUGCCGGGAUCUCCAGGUAACAGCGGCCUCUGCUGGACAGACUGAAAACAAACUCUUCAUUCUCUAAAAUAGAAACCCAACAACUGCGGCUCCCCGUCUCAUGAUGCAUUCAGGAAAACAUGGUAGAAAAGGUUCUCAACUCAGGGGUAAAGCUUUUUCUCUUAUCGAAGAUUUCAGGCCAAGUCAAGUCAACAACACAACUGCUGGUGACCAAAUAAAAUGAAUACAUCUUCAAACGUACAAGGGACAUUCACUAUCUUGUCCUAUAUUCUAAAAUGUAAACACAAUGGGAAAGGUUCAUGUUUUUUAUGUGUUUCCACGGUGCUUUGCCACAAGGAUUUUUUCUUUCUGUUGUUGGGGGUGAAUAAAGAUCUUAACUGAAAAGUGUU